UUAAGCGACUAAGCGUACACGGUGGAUGCCCUGGCAGUCAGAGGCGAUGAAGGACGUGCUAAUCUGCGAUAAGCGUCGGUGAGGUGAUAUGAACCGUUAUAACCGGCGAUUUCCGAAUGGGGAAACCCAGUGUGUUUCGACACACUAUCAUUAACUGAAUCCAUAGGUUAAUGAGGCGAACCGGGGGAACUGAAACAUCUAAGUACCCCGAGGAAAAGAAAUCAACCGAGAUUCCCCCAGUAGCGGCGAGCGAACGGGGAGGAGCCCAGAGCCUGAAUCAGUGUGUGUAUUAGUGGAAGCGUCUGGAAAGGCGCGCGAUACAGGGUGACAGCCCCGUACACAAAAAUGCACAUGCUGUGAGCUCGAUGAGUAGGGCGGGACACGUGGUAUCCUGUCUGAAUAUGGGGGGACCAUCCUCCAAGGCUAAAUACUCCUGACUGACCGAUAGUGAACCAGUACCGUGAGGGAAAGGCGAAAAGAACCCCGGCGAGGGGAGUGAAAAAGAACCUGAAACCGUGUACGUACAAGCAGUGGGAGCCUCUUAAUGGGGUGACUGCGUACCUUUUGUAUAAUGGGUCAGCGACUUAUAUUCUGUAGCAAGGUUAACCGAAUAGGGGAGCCGAAGGGAAAACCGAGUCUUAACUGGGCGUUAAGUUGCAGGGUAUAGACCCGAAACCCGGUGAUCUAGCCAUGGGCAGGUUGAAGGUUGGGUAACACUAACUGGAGGACCGAACCGACUAAUGUUGAAAAAUUAGCGGAUGACUUGUGGCUGGGGGUGAAAGGCCAAUCAAAACCGGGAGAUAGCUGGUUCUCCCCGAAAGCUAUUUAGGUAGCGCCUCGUGAAUUCAUCUCCGGGGGUAGAGCACUGUUUCGGCAAGGGGGUCAUCCCGACUUACCAACCCGAUGCAAACUGCGAAUACCGGAGAAUGUUAUCACGGGAGACACACGGCGGGUGCUAACGUCCGUCGUGAAGAGGGAAACAACCCAGACCGCCAGCUAAGGUCCCAAAGUCAUGGUUAAGUGGGAAACGAUGUGGGAAGGCCCAGACAGCCAGGAUGUUGGCUUAGAAGCAGCCAUCAUUUAAAGAAAGCGUAAUAGCUCACUGGUCGAGUCGGCCUGCGCGGAAGAUGUAACGGGGCUAAACCAUGCACCGAAGCUGCGGCAGCGACACUAUGUGUUGUUGGGUAGGGGAGCGUUCUGUAAGCCUGUGAAGGUGGCCUGUGAGGGUUGCUGGAGGUAUCAGAAGUGCGAAUGCUGACAUAAGUAACGAUAAAGCGGGUGAAAAGCCCGCUCGCCGGAAGACCAAGGGUUCCUGUCCAACGUUAAUCGGGGCAGGGUGAGUCGACCCCUAAGGCGAGGCCGAAAGGCGUAGUCGAUGGGAAACAGGUUAAUAUUCCUGUACUUGGUGUUACUGCGAAGGGGGGACGGAGAAGGCUAUGUUGGCCGGGCGACGGUUGUCCCGGUUUAAGCGUGUAGGCUGGUUUUCCAGGCAAAUCCGGAAAACCAAGGCUGAGGCGUGAUGACGAGGCACUACGGUGCUGAAGUGACAAAUGCCCUGCUUCCAGGAAAAGCCUCUAAGCAUCAGGUAACAUCAAAUCGUACCCCAAACCGACACAGGUGGUCAGGUAGAGAAUACCAAGGCGCUUGAGAGAACUCGGGUGAAGGAACUAGGCAAAAUGGUGCCGUAACUUCGGGAGAAGGCACGCUGAUAUGUAGGUGAAGCGACUUGCUCGUGGAGCUGAAAUCAGUCGAAGAUACCAGCUGGCUGCAACUGUUUAUUAAAAACACAGCACUGUGCAAACACGAAAGUGGACGUAUACGGUGUGACGCCUGCCCGGUGCCGGAAGGUUAAUUGAUGGGGUUAGCGGUAACGCGAAGCUCUUGAUCGAAGCCCCGGUAAACGGCGGCCGUAACUAUAACGGUCCUAAGGUAGCGAAAUUCCUUGUCGGGUAAGUUCCGACCUGCACGAAUGGCGUAAUGAUGGCCAGGCUGUCUCCACCCGAGACUCAGUGAAAUUGAACUCGCUGUGAAGAUGCAGUGUACCCGCGGCAAGACGGAAAGACCCCGUGAACCUUUACUAUAGCUUGACACUGAACAUUGAGCCUUGAUGUGUAGGAUAGGUGGGAGGCUUUGAAGUGUGGACGCCAGUCUGCAUGGAGCCGACCUUGAAAUACCACCCUUUAAUGUUUGAUGUUCUAACGUUGGCCCGUAAUCCGGGUUGCGGACAGUGUCUGGUGGGUAGUUUGACUGGGGCGGUCUCCUCCUAAAGAGUAACGGAGGAGCACGAAGGUUGGCUAAUCCUGGUCGGACAUCAGGAGGUUAGUGCAAUGGCAUAAGCCAGCUUGACUGCGAGCGUGACGGCGCGAGCAGGUGCGAAAGCAGGUCAUAGUGAUCCGGUGGUUCUGAAUGGAAGGGCCAUCGCUCAACGGAUAAAAGGUACUCCGGGAUAACAGGCUGAUACCGCCCAAGAGUUCAUAUCGACGGCGGUGUUUGGCACCUCGAUGUCGGCUCAUCACAUCCUGGGGCUGAAGUAGGUCCCAAGGGUAUGGCUGUUCGCCAUUUAAAGUGGUACGCGAGCUGGGUUUAGAACGUCGUGAGACAGUUCGGUCCCUAUCUGCCGUGGGCGCUGGAGAACUGAGGGGGGCUGCUCCUAGUACGAGAGGACCGGAGUGGACGCAUCACUGGUGUUCGGGUUGUCAUGCCAAUGGCACUGCCCGGUAGCUAAAUGCGGAAGAGAUAAGUGCUGAAAGCAUCUAAGCACGAAACUUGCCCCGAGAUGAGUUCUCCCUGAGACUUAGAGUCUCCUGAAGGAACGUUGAAGACGACGACGUUGAUAGGCCGGGUGUGUAAGCGCAGCGAUGCGUUGAGCUAACCGGUACUAAUGAACCGUGAGGCUUAACCUU
RNAcentral lists this ribosomal RNA (2903 nucleotides) under Escherichia coli. RNAcentral's name for it is "23S ribosomal RNA". It matches the Rfam family "Bacterial large subunit ribosomal RNA". The record is from RNAcentral. Lineage: Bacteria; Pseudomonadati; Pseudomonadota; Gammaproteobacteria; Enterobacterales; Enterobacteriaceae.